UAGGGAAUCUUCCACAAUGGGCGAAAGCCUGAUGGAGCAACGCCGCGUGAGUGAAGAAGGGUUUCGGCUCGUAAAACUCUGUUGUUAAAGAAGAACAUAUCUGAGAGUAACUGUUCAGGUAUUGACGGUAUUUAACCAGAAAGCCACGGCUAAAUACGUGCUAG
RNAcentral lists this ribosomal RNA (164 nucleotides) under uncultured bacterium. Its description in RNAcentral is "partial 16S ribosomal RNA". It matches the Rfam family "Bacterial small subunit ribosomal RNA", at positions 355 to 511 of the family's 1533-position model. The record is from RNAcentral.